AUACUACUCCCUCCGUCCCAAAAAUUUUGUCUUAGAUUUAUCUACAUAUAAAUAUAUCUAGUCACGUUUCAUUAUUUUAAUACAUGUAUUUCUAGACAAACCUAAGACAAGAAUUUUGGGACGAAGGGAGUAUCAG
This 136-nucleotide microRNA precursor is filed under the name Hordeum vulgare. RNAcentral describes it as "microRNA MIR1122". It matches the Rfam family "MIR1120/MIR1122 microRNA precursor family". The record is from RNAcentral. Lineage: Eukaryota; Viridiplantae; Streptophyta; Magnoliopsida; Poales; Poaceae.